CAAUAGCGUAUAUUUAAGUUGUUGCAGUUAAAAAGCUCGGAGUUGGAUUUCGGGUGGGACGCAGCGGUCUCGCAUUGCGUUUGUACUGCUGCAGCCCUCCUUCUUGCCGGGGGCGGCCUCUCGGACUUCACUGUCUGGGGGUCAGAAUCGGCGAUGUUACUUUGAGUAAAUUAGAGUGUUCAAAGCAAGCUUACGCUCUGAAUAUAAUAGCAUGGGAUAACACGACAGGACUCUGGCCUAUCGUGUUGGUCUAUAGGACCAGAGUAAUGAUUAAGAGGGACAGUCGGGGGCAUUCGUAUUCCGUUGUCAGAGGUGAAAUUCUUGGAUUUACGGAAGACGAACAUCUGCGAAAGCAUUUGCCAAGGAUGUUUUCAUUGA
RNAcentral lists this ribosomal RNA (378 nucleotides) under uncultured eukaryote. RNAcentral's name for it is "partial 18S ribosomal RNA". It matches the Rfam family "Eukaryotic small subunit ribosomal RNA", at positions 592 to 976 of the family's 1831-position model. The record is from RNAcentral.